RNAcentral lists this ribosomal RNA (368 nucleotides) under uncultured eukaryote. RNAcentral describes it as "SSU rRNA". It matches the Rfam family "Eukaryotic small subunit ribosomal RNA", at positions 587 to 969 of the family's 1831-position model. The record is from RNAcentral.
AGCUCCAAUAGCGUAUAUUAAAGUUGUUGCAGUUAAAAAGCUCGUAGUUGGAUCUGUGGAGUGUCCUGAGGUCACUAUUGUACUAUCGGGACGCUCCAUUAUUGGGUGGAAGCUGUGUGGCAUUAGGUUGUUGUGCAGUCGACACUCAUCUUUUACUGUGAGAAAAUUAGAGCGUUCAAAGCAAGCUUAUGCUGUUGAAUAUGUUAGCAUGGAAUAAUAUGAUAGGACCUCGGUACUAUUUUGUUGGUUUGUGCACCUAGGUAAUGAUUAAUAGGGAUUGUUGGGGGUAUUCGUAUUCCACUGUCAGAGGUGAAAUUCUUGGAUUUUUGGAAGACGCACUACUGCGAAAGCAUUUACCAAGGAUGUUU